RNAcentral lists this unclassified non-coding RNA (334 nucleotides) under Russula sp. RNAcentral describes it as "partial contains 5.8S ribosomal RNA, internal transcribed spacer 2, and large subunit ribosomal RNA". The stretch from base 1 to 52 matches the Rfam family "5.8S ribosomal RNA", at positions 103 to 154 of the family's 154-position model. Lineage: Eukaryota; Fungi; Basidiomycota; Agaricomycetes; Russulales; Russulaceae. The record is from RNAcentral.
AACGCACCUUGCGCUCCUUGGUAUUCCGAGGAGCAUGCCUGUUUGAGUGUCAUGAAUUCUCAACCCUCAAUGCUUUAUUGCAUUGCUUGGGGUUGGUCCUUGGGUGCUUGCCGUAUGAAUUGUACAGCUCACCUCAAAUGUAUUAGCUGGACCCGUACUUCUUGUGUAGGUGUCCUCAACGUGAUAAAGUCAUUCGUUGAGGCGUGUGCAGGCAACUGCUCCCUUACCUUUCUGUACAAGCGUCUGCUUCUAACCCGGCGAACGACUCUUUGCAGUCUGACCCAUGACUUAAAGCUCUGGCCUCAAAUCAGGUAGGAUUACCCGCUGAACUUAA